Molecule: unclassified non-coding RNA, 242 nt
Filed under: uncultured fungus
Lineage: Eukaryota; Fungi
Description: sequence contains ITS2
Rfam family: 5.8S ribosomal RNA (bases 1-52)
Source: RNAcentral
AACGCACAUUGCGCCCUUUGGUAUUCCGAAGGGCAUGCCUGUUCGAGCGUCAUUAUAACCACUCAAGCCUUCGCUUGGUAUUGAGGCUCGCGACCCCGCGGCCCCUAAACUCAGUGGCGGUGCCUGUCGGCUCUACGCGUAGUAAUGCUCCUCGCGUCUGGGUCCGGUAGGUUGCCUGCCAGCAACCCCCCAAUUUUUUACAGGUUGACCUCGGAUCAGGUAGGGAUACCCGCUGAACUUAA